Long non-coding RNA from Passer domesticus (house sparrow), 4559 nucleotides. RefSeq lists it as uncharacterized. The record is from RefSeq and is a predicted model, not a curated record. The transcript is spliced from 3 exons. NCBI's taxonomy places the organism in Eukaryota, Metazoa, Chordata, Aves, Passeriformes, Passeridae.
GGAACUGCAGCAGCAGCAGCCCAACAUGCCGUGCAGAGCUCAGCCAAGCUGCAUCCUCACCGACUCCUGUUCCCAAAAGGAAGAAGUCCCUUUUAUUGAUAAAAUGUUGCCCUGGUGCCAGUAGUCUAACGGGUUUUAAAUAAAGCAACAUUUCAGUCGGUUUUGCCAUUGUGAAAAAGAGUUUUGGAAGCCUGGUACUUCUUUGCAGUGACAGAGAUGUCAGAGGAGCUGGAGGAACUAUGGACAGGAAAGCAAACCUAGAGAUGUACAAGGACAGCUAACAUGAAGAUGGCAGAGGAAUAGAAUGAAAGGCAAAAGAGAAACCAAAGGGAAACUGAUGGAAUGCCAAGUGCUUUUUCUAUAAUUUAAGAGUGUAAUUAAAAAGGCUGAUAUGCAAAAUUCUCAGGAGAAACAACAUGUGCAUCACUAUAAGUAAAUAUUCUCCUAAAAUAUCUUAAACAGCAAAAGGAUAAGAAAGGAGCAGAAAUUAAACAAAACUGAGGAAGAAUUGGUACACAUGUAAUUCAGAGUCCCACAACAUGUAUACAUCCUAGUGAGGAGGAAUAGUGAAGGACAUGCCUUUAAAUGAGUUGCAGCUAGUAGUAAAUAUAACACAUACAGUGACUCACUGUUAACAAACUUUUCCUGUACUAAUUUAAUCAAAAUAUUUCACAAUACUGUUAGAAUUAAUAGGUAAUUUCACCAGAUAAUUUAAAUUAACCUAAUAGACAAAAAAGUAUGUUUUUUUUAUUUGAGUAGUUAGUUUUAUAAAGGCAAAUCAGUUUCAGCCUCUUAGAUACAAAAUAAACCAAAUUUAGAUGGCUUGACAGAAUCCCUUUUUAUUUAUUUAGUUAGUCUAAAAAGGAAAUAUUUGUUAGUAUUUAGACAGAAAAAAGCACAAAAAAAUAUUGUCUUUGGGUGAUUCAAUAUGGCAUGGGGCAACAUUUUUAUUAAAAUAUAUUAAUAAUAAAUAAACAUUUUAUUACAAUUCUGAUAUGCAAUGAAUUCCAAAGAAAUACAAAAGGGUAUUCACGGCAUUUUUUUUUUCCAGCACAGGUUAGUAAUCUCAAAACAAAGCAUUUUCACAAAUCUUGUUUAUAAUAUGUUAGAACUCUAUCCAUUUAUGCUCUUUAAAGCUUUUUGGGCUGCUGUUAUUAGAGAAAUUAUGUUGCUUCUAUUUAAAUACAUUUAAACAUAAGUGUAAUGCUUGCCAGAAGAUACCUGAAUUAGCUUUAAAAAAUUCUGACAUGGCACUUAGGGCUUUGCAGAAAUACGAGCUUGGGGUCCACCCCACACAUUUACAGAGCAACAAAUUACAGACAGCCCCUCUCCAGCCCAAUAUGGACACCAAGGAACACUGCAAAGGCUUUGACAAAAUGAGAAACAAUUCCUUAUCUCCUGUUCAGCUGUCUUACAUCAUCCCUACCUUCAAAACUAUCUGACAACAAUGACCAAAGAAGCCAGCAUGUUUUACUCUUCUAAGAGUUUUGGUAUGUCACUUUUUCAUCAGUUGUUACCUCUGUAUGUGGCAAAAAUGUAAAAAGUACCUUUCUCAACUAUUAGAAUGAAGGAAUCCAUGACUUUCUUUAAUGUAUAUCCUAAAAGAGUAUGAGGAUAAUUUAAUUUCUGACAUCUUAUGCUCAUUUCUCAUCCCCAUUUAGAAAAAAAAAAAUAGAGGGAAUUUUAAUGCAGCAUGCAAGAAGACUGAAAAAAGAGUUCUGAUCAUUUUCAUUUCCAUAUAUUUAUGUAGCUUUCUUUAUUUUUGUAUUUUAAUAAAACCAAACUAUAAUAUCAGGUGUCAAAUACAUGUUUUGAACAUGUCCUUGGAUUGAAAUAUUACAUCCACUAGCAGUUAUCAAUCCUUAAACAUUCACAUAUCAGUAUUUGUAACAUUAAGCAUUUUGAAGUUUCAGUUCCUCCAAAUAUAAAUGGAAAUAAACACAUCUCCAAGUUCAUCAGCUGCUAUCUGACCUUAAUUAUCAUGCAGUAUGAGCUAUUGAUGUGGCUCACUUAUUCUUCCUCUAUAUAUAUUCUACUAAACAACAAUAUAAAAAUCCAACCUGACUUGAACAGAAAUAACUGCAAAUAAGUAAGAGGAAAAAUAAGUGAACACUACCAAAUUUGACAUAAGGAGGAAUAAAGGAAGAAGAAGAAAUGGCAGUUCUAAGGUGAGGUUUGAGUCUAAGGAUGCCUGUCAGUGUUUAAGAGGCAUUUGGACAAUGCCCUUAUUAAAAGCUCUAACUUUUAGUCAGCCCUGUACUUAAGUGGCCAGGCAGUUGCAUUAGAUGUCUGGUUUAAGUCCCUUCCAACUUAAAUACUCUAUUUUAUAAAUGUAUUCUGCCACUACCAGGAAAAUAUGGCUUGCAUAUAAGGUUUAGUUUUAGCCAGAUACCAUUUUUUCUAGAUACAUCAUGUUUCUCCAAAUUUUCAGUAGCUAAUUCUUUUCCAUGGCUGUAUAACACCAAGACUUUAUAACAAUGUCCUGCCAGUUAGGGGUCAUUUCCUAACAAAUGCAAAUCCACUACUGUGUGUUAUAAAAAGGCUUAGAGCUGUCACAGAGUUUCUGAGCUUGUUAUAAACACCUCAAGAUAAAGUAUGUCAGUGCUAAGGUAAAAUGAAAGGUAGGAAUAUAGAUAGAAAUGAGAAUUCAAAACAAAGAGGAACAGUAAAAUCUAUCUAUGAGAAGAUAUUUUCUCUCCCACCUGCACAAUGUCUCUUUCUGCAAAUCUUCCUCUUGAAGAAAUCCUCACUACAUCCCCAUCCAGUUCUUCCAUAGCUUAAAAGAAAAUAAAGAAAAAAGUCCUAUGAGUUCAGGUACACAAUAAAAUCAUCUUAAUGAGAAAAAGUUCAGACAACUUACACUUUUGAACAAUAAAAAACCCAACAAUUCUUCUUUAGCUAACUCUGUUAAGAUCCUUUGCAUCAGAAAAUACAAAAUGUUUUGUAGCUGUUUUGCACAUUUUCAUGGUGACAAUAUAUACUUUUAUCUUUAUUGUCACCUUCAGAAAAUAACAGACUAUGACAAAGUUUUUAUCCUUUCAUCGCUCAAAGCAGCAAGCAUGUCUGAUUUUGUAGAGCAAUAUAUAUACUUUCAGAGGUGGAGAAGAAUUCAUCUUCAGCAGCUAUUGUUACAGAAUAUAUCAGAGGAUACAGCAUAGAGAAGUAAUAACUCACAUUCACAUUGAAAAAGCAGUAUCUUCUAAUGCUAAGGAAUGAGGAGCGCUUAAAAAAAAAGUCAAAUUUAUUGGGCAUUUCUUCUUGUAUCUUCUGAGCAGGAUACAGGAAAGCUCUGUUGUCCAGAUACCUGGAAGCUACUCUAGGUAGAAAGAUGCACCUGCUCUCUUGUCAGUGUUGAAAUCUGGGAUCUGAGAUCCCAGAUUAUUGCUGAGAUGUUGGUUCUGCAGCUCUACAAACCUUCUUUCAGUGUGUGCUAUGGAAACCAAAGCCCUGCACCUCAGCAUCUCAGGGGUUUACAAACUGGUUUACAAAUUUACUAAAUUCACUGAAACCAGCACUUCAAACCCUAAUUCUUCUGAAGCAAGAACCAGAAAGUAUAAAUGACACCAUCAGGAGCCAAGCUGAACAGAGUGUAUUUGUUCAAAGAAAAAAAUCAGUAGGUCUGCAGAGCAUGUUGCCUGGUGAUGCUGUUGCAAAAACGUACAUGUGUUCAAACCAGGAGACUGAACAAGUAUUUGAAGGAGUUUCACAACAGAAUUUCCAAAACAGACAAAGACAUCCUGCCCAGGAAACUCCAACUGAAAACCAGUAUUCAGGGAAAUAUCCUAUUUGCUUAGUCGGUUCUUAACAUUCUCUAGGGAGCUACCCAUGGCCAUGUCAGAUACAGAAUACUGGGCAAAAAUGCUUCUGUUGGGACCUGUUACAGUCAUCCUCUCAUUCUUUAAGUGAAGCUCUGCCAAAUGUAUGUGUCAUCUACCCAAGAUUCAAACUUUUAAGAACCCCUCUGGUAUCCCCCAGGAGCUGGGAGAUCUAGGGAACAGGGAGAUCUGAAGAGAAGCAGCCAGAGGGCAGAACUGAAGCUCCAGGGGCACUGGAAUGUCCAGACUCCCUAAACAUCACGCUCCUGCAGGCACACUCCUUCAGCAUGCACAGCAGACAUGGAAUCUGUGGUUUAUUCCAGAAGGAAUUUCUGUAAAUGGAUGUAAUUCCUCUGUCCUCUUGGGCACUGAGGGACCACAGAUUUGGCACACAGCUCAGGGUGAAUCUCCCUGAGGCAGACACACCAGGAUUGUGGCUGCAAAGAUGGAAACUGCAUCCUGCAGUACAAACAGAAUCCCAACUUCAGGAAAGGGGGAGGGUGGACACCCCAAGAACAUGUCCUGACUGAGAAAGGGAGCCUGGGCAAAUCCAAGGACUAGACAAACAGGAAGAAAGGGAAAAUGCAAUGGAGAGGUCAGAGAAUGGUAAGUAACACAGGACUAUGCUGGAAUUCUCAGGAGUAAAAAUGAAGUUUACAAAUUUCCAUCAUAUGCACUUAUUGAUAAAACCUGUCCUUUCUCACUGAUUGUGACAUACAAUCAUCUGAAGUGUAAAGUGUUCAC